AAACUUGUUCUUGCUUCCAUUUACAAUUUUAAGUUGGAGUUACCAUUUUGAGCUUGGUUCUAUGAGUGGAAUUGAGGUUCAAAUGAAAGAAAAUGAGUUUCUUCAAAUCAUUUUAGGUUGGACAAUUUCCAACUUUGUAUUUUGAAAGUCUUGGUCUAAUUUCUUCAAACGUUUGACUAUAAUCGAAGCUCUUGUGCUCCAAAUGGCUUUUACAACGUUGAUUUAGUAAGCACAUAAGGUUUUCUCCUCGAUUGCAACAAGAAAAUAUUAUAUUUUGAUAGGUUAUAUGGGUAUAAAACUUCUGAUGCAUUUUCUAAAUGAAGUUUUGAAACCACAAUUUUUUCAUGUAUUUUGGCUGUGUAUUGCUAGUCUUUUAAUAAAUAUAUGACCACAAGACUCGGGAGAAUUCAAGAGGACGAACCAGGGUUAAAGUGAAGGGUUUCAAUUGAUUGGUGAGUGUUCCAAUGCAUGUUAUUUGAUUGUGCAUGACUUGAGAAAAUGCUAUUAUUUGCUUAAGUGUUGUCUUUGAAUGACAUGCGAAUAAGUGAAUGACUGUUGUGAUUUUCUUGUCUUGUUAAUUUGUUAUGAAUGCAUGUUCAUAUUGCACGAAUGCAUGAUAAAUGUGCAAGAAUGUAGGCCGAUGUGUACUUUAUCGCAUCGACUGAACUGAGUUUAACCUUAUGCUGGCACGCUAUCCGAGACCCCCUAUUUGCGAGGUCAAAUCAGCUGGAUAG
RNAcentral lists this long non-coding RNA (734 nucleotides) under Coffea arabica (coffee). Its description in RNAcentral is "long non-coding RNA (CARA_LNC001275)". Lineage: Eukaryota; Viridiplantae; Streptophyta; Magnoliopsida; Gentianales; Rubiaceae. The record is from RNAcentral.